Molecule: ribosomal RNA, 877 nt
Filed under: uncultured bacterium
Lineage: Bacteria
Description: bacterial SSU rRNA
Rfam family: Bacterial small subunit ribosomal RNA
Source: RNAcentral
AGAGUUUGAUCAUGGCUCAGGAUGAACGCUGGCAGCGUGCCUAACACAUGCAAGUCGAGCGAUCUUCUUCGGAAGAGAGCGGCGGACGGGUGAGUAACGCGUGGGUAACCUGCCUCAUACACAUGGGUAACAUACCGAAAGGUAUGCUAAUACAAGAUGAUAUAAGAGAUUCGCAUGGAUUUCUUAUCAAAGCUCCGGCGGUAUGAGAUGGACCCGCGUCUGAUUAGCUAGUUGGUAAGGUAACGGCUUACCAAGGCGACGAUCAGUAGCCGACCUGAGAGGGUGAUCGGCCACAUUGGAACUGAGACACGGUCCAAACUCCUACGGGAGGCAGCAGUGGGGAAUAUUGCACAAUGGGCGAAAGCCUGAUGCAGCAACGCCGCGUGAGCGAUGAAGGCCUUCGGGUCGUAAAGCUCUGUCCUCAAGGAAGAUAAUGACGGUACUUGAGGAGGAAGCCCCGGCUAACUACGUGCCAGCAGCCGCGGUAAUACGUAGGGGGCUAGCGCUAUCCGGAUUUACUGGGCGUAAAGGGUGCGUAGGUGGUUUCCUAAGUCAGGAGUGAAAGGCUUCGGCUCAACCGUAGUAAGCUCUUGAAACUGGGAAACUUGAGUGCAGGAGAGGAAAGUGGAAUUCCUAGUGUAGCGGUGAAAUGCGUAGAUAUUAGGAGGAACACCAGUAGCGAAGGCGGCUUUCUGGACUGUAACUGACACUGAGCACGAAAGCGUGGGGAGCAAACAGGAUUAGAUACCCUGUAGUCCACGCCGUAAACGAUGAGUACUAGGUGUCGGGGGUUACCCCCCUCGGUGCCGCAGCUAACGCAUUAAGUACUCCGCCUGGGGAGUACGCUCGCAAGAGUGAAACUCAAAGGAAUUGACGG